GGAUUUAUUAGCCUUUAUCCACUAGGCACACAGGCUUCACACCUGAGUUAACCCGCAUCAAGCUAGAUCACCCUCAAUCAGCAGGCUAGGCAGUUAGACCCAUUUAAUCUUACCAACCAGGCACCAGUCGACCCUCUUUGUCGACUCCCAUAAUUAUUGUUAAUAUAUCAACCACCUUCGGCUACCAACCCUAGUUUGAGUCUCAUCGAACUCCCUCGAC
RNAcentral lists this long non-coding RNA (220 nucleotides) under Elaeis guineensis (African oil palm). RNAcentral's name for it is "long non-coding RNA (EGUI_LNC058550)". Lineage: Eukaryota; Viridiplantae; Streptophyta; Magnoliopsida; Arecales; Arecaceae. The record is from RNAcentral.